ACGCUGGCGGCAGGCCUAACACAUGCAAGUCGAGCGGUAGCACAGGAGAGCUUGCUCUCUGGGUGACGAGCGGCGGACGGGUGAGUAAUGUCUGGGAAACUGCCUGAUGGAGGGGGAUAACUACUGGAAACGGUAGCUAAUACCGCAUGACCUCGCAAGAGCAAAGUGGGGGACCUUCGGGCCUCACGCCAUCGGAUGUGCCCAGAUGGGAUUAGCUAGUAGGUGGGGUAAUGGCUCACCUAGGCGACGAUCCCUAGCUGGUCUGAGAGGAUGACCAGCCACACUGGAACUGAGACACGGUCCAGACUCCUACGGGAGGCAGCAGUGGGGAAUAUUGCACAAUGGGCGCAAGCCUGAUGCAGCCAUGCCGCGUGUGUGAAGAAGCCUUAGGGUUGUAAAGCACUUUCAGCGAGGAGGAAGGCGUUGUAGUUAAUAGCUGCAGCGAUUGACGUUACUCGCAGAAGAAGCACCGGCUAACUCCGUGCCAGCAGCCGCGGUAAUACGGAGGGUGCAAGCGUUAAUCGGAAUUACUGGGCGUAAAGCGCACGCAGGCGGUUUGUUAAGUCAGAUGUGAAAUCCCCGAGCUUAACUUGGGAACUGCAUUUGAAACUGGCAAGCUAGAGUCUUGUAGAGGGGGGUAGAAUUCCAGGUGUAGCGGUGAAAUGCGUAGAGAUCUGGAGGAAUACCGGUGGCGAAGGCGGCCCCCUGGACAAAGACUGACGCUCAGGUGCGAAAGCGUGGGGAGCAAAC
Molecule: ribosomal RNA, 750 nt
Filed under: uncultured bacterium
Lineage: Bacteria
Description: bacterial SSU rRNA
Rfam family: Bacterial small subunit ribosomal RNA
Source: RNAcentral